This 406-nucleotide ribosomal RNA is filed under the name uncultured bacterium. RNAcentral describes it as "bacterial SSU rRNA". It matches the Rfam family "Bacterial small subunit ribosomal RNA", at positions 976 to 1381 of the family's 1533-position model. The record is from RNAcentral.
UGGGCUUGACAUCCCGGGAAUUCCGUCUAAACAUGGAAGUGCCCUUCGGGGAACCUGGAGACAGGUGCUGCAUGGCUGUCGUCAGCUCGUGUCGUGAGAUGUUGGGUUAAGUCCCGCAACGAGCGCAACCCUCAUCCUUAGUUGCCAUCAUUAAGUUGGGCACUCUAAGGAAACUGCCGGUGUUAAACCGGAGGAAGGUGGGGAUGACGUCAAGUCCUCAUGGCCCUUAUGUCCAGGGCUACACACGUGCUACAAUGGCCGGAACAAUGGGUCGCAAUCCCGCGAGGGGGAGCUAAUCCCAAAAAGCCGGUCUUAGUUCGGAUUGGAGUCUGCAACCCGACUCCAUGAAGCUGGAAUCGCUAGUAAUCGCGUAUCAGCAUGACGCGGUGAAUACGUUCCCGGGCCU